Molecule: transfer RNA, 75 nt
Filed under: Vibrio phage vB_VaM_H2
Lineage: Duplodnaviria; Heunggongvirae; Uroviricota; Caudoviricetes
Rfam family: tRNA
About the family: Transfer RNA (tRNA) molecules are approximately 80 nucleotides in length.
Source: Rfam by way of RNAcentral
GGUCCUAUAGCAUAAUCGGUUAAUGCAGUCGCCUCAUAAGCGAAUGAAGGAGCGGUUCAAAUCCGCCUAGGAUCA